This 262-nucleotide ribosomal RNA is filed under the name uncultured bacterium. Its description in RNAcentral is "partial 16S ribosomal RNA". It matches the Rfam family "Bacterial small subunit ribosomal RNA", at positions 793 to 1055 of the family's 1533-position model. The record is from RNAcentral.
GUCCCGACAGUAAACGUUGGACACUAGGUGUUGGAGGUCGACCCCUUCAGUGCCGCAGCUAACGCAUUAAGUGUCCCGCCUGGGGAGUACGGCCGCAAGGUUGAAACUCAAAGGAAUUGACGGGGCCCGCACAAGCGGUGGAGUAUGUGGUUUAAUUCGACGCAACGCGAAGAACCUUACCUGGGUUUGACAUGCACGGGACGGAUGCAGAGAUGUAUCUUCCCCUUCGGGGGUCCGUGCACAGGUGCUGCAUGGCUGUCGU